This 347-nucleotide ribosomal RNA is filed under the name uncultured bacterium. Its description in RNAcentral is "bacterial SSU rRNA". It matches the Rfam family "Bacterial small subunit ribosomal RNA", at positions 28 to 290 of the family's 1533-position model. The record is from RNAcentral.
GAUGAACGCUGGCGGCGUGCCUAAGACAUGCAAGUUGUGCGGCAACAUGUUUCUCACUUUGGUUCGGAACGGUAGAUAGUAGUUUGUAGAUGGUAGAUGGGUUUUCCCAACUACUAACUGCCAGCUACCAACUACCAAAAUUCCGAGCUGGUGUGAGGAAUGAUGGCGAGCGGCGGACGGGUGAGUAAUGCAUAGGAAUGUACCCCAAAGUGAGGGAUAAGCACCAGAAAUGGUGUCUAAUACCGCAUGUGCUCUUCGGAGUAAAGCUUUUAGCGCUUUGGGAGCAGCCUAUGUCUGAUUAGCUAGUUGGUAGGGUAAAGCCUACCAAGGCGACGAUCAGUAGCUGG